GAUCAUGGCUCAGGACGAACGCUGGCGGCGCGCCUAACACAUGCAAGCCGAACGAGAGAGAAGGAGCUUGCUUCUUCGAUCGAGUGGCGAACGGGUGAGUAACGCGUGAGGAACCUUCCUCAAAGAGGGGGACAACAGUUGGAAACGACUGCUAAUACCGCAUAAGCCCACAGGUCGGCAUCGACCAGAGGGAAAAGGAGCAAUCCGCUUUGAGAUGGCCUCGCGUCCGAUUAGCUAGUUGG
Molecule: ribosomal RNA, 242 nt
Filed under: uncultured bacterium
Lineage: Bacteria
Description: partial 16S ribosomal RNA
Rfam family: Bacterial small subunit ribosomal RNA
Source: RNAcentral